GAUGAAGAACGCAGCGAAAUGCGAUAAGUAGUGUGAAUUGCAGAAUUCAGUGAAUCAUCGAAUCUUUGAACGCACCUUGCGCCCUUUGGCUAUUCCGAAGGGCAUGCCUGUUUGAGUAUCAUGAACACCUCAACUCUCAUGGUUUUUCCAUGAUGGGCUUGGACUUUGGGGUCUUGCUGGCCUAUAGUCAGCUCCUCUUAAAUGAAUCAGCUUGCCAGUGUUUGGUGGCAUCACAGGUGUGAUAACUAUCUACGCUUGUGGUUUUCCAUCAAGUCACCUUCAGCGAUGGAGGUUCGCUGGGGCUCAUAAAGAAGGCCUCUCCUCGGUGAGGAUGGCUCCUUUGAACGUUUGAUCUCAAAUCAGGUAGGACUACCCGCUGAACUUAAGCAUAUCAAUAAGCGGAGGA
This 406-nucleotide unclassified non-coding RNA is filed under the name soil metagenome. RNAcentral's name for it is "partial contains 5.8S ribosomal RNA, internal transcribed spacer 2, and large subunit ribosomal RNA". The stretch from base 1 to 121 matches the Rfam family "5.8S ribosomal RNA", at positions 35 to 154 of the family's 154-position model. The record is from RNAcentral.